RNAcentral lists this ribosomal RNA (433 nucleotides) under uncultured bacterium. RNAcentral's name for it is "bacterial SSU rRNA". It matches the Rfam family "Bacterial small subunit ribosomal RNA", at positions 28 to 478 of the family's 1533-position model. The record is from RNAcentral.
GACGAACGCUGGCGGCGUGCCUAACACAUGCAAGUCGAGCGAGUGGAGUUCUUCGGAACAAAGCUAGCGGCGGACGGGUGAGUAACACGUGGGCAACCUGCCUCAUAGAGGGGAAUAGCCUUCCGAAAGGGAGAUUAAUACCGCAUAAGAUUGCAGCUUCGCAUGAAGUAGCAAUUAAAGGAGCAAUCCGCUAUGAGAUGGGCCCGCGGCGCAUUAGCUAGUUGGUGAGGUAACGGCUCACCAAGGCGACGAUGCGUAGCCGACCUGAGAGGGUGAUCGGCCACAUUGGGACUGAGACACGGCCCAGACUCCUACGGGAGGCAGCAGUGGGGAAUAUUGCACAAUGGGGGAAACCCUGAUGCAGCAACGCCGCGUGAGUGAUGACGGCCUUCGGGUUGUAAAGCUCUGUCUUCAGGGACGAUAAUGACGGUAC